This 396-nucleotide ribosomal RNA is filed under the name uncultured bacterium. Its description in RNAcentral is "partial 16S ribosomal RNA". It matches the Rfam family "Bacterial small subunit ribosomal RNA", at positions 523 to 918 of the family's 1533-position model. The record is from RNAcentral.
AUACGUAGGUGGCAAGCGUUGUCCGGAAUUAUUGGGCGUAAAGCGCAUGUAGGCGGUUUGGUAAGUCGGUCGUGAAAAUGCGGUGCUUAACGCCGUAUGGGGAUCGAAAAUGCUGAACUUGAGUGCAGGAGGGGAAAGGGGGACUCCCAGUGUUGCGGUGAAAUGCGUAGAUAUUGGGAAGAACACCGGUGGCGAAGGCGCCUUUCUGGACUGUGUCUGACGCUCAGAUGCGAAAGCCAGGGUAGCGAACGGGAUUAGAUACCCCGGUAGUCCUGGCCGUAAACGAUGGGUACUAGGUGUGGGAGGUAUCGACUCCUUCCGUGCCGGAGUUAACGCAAUAAGUACCCCGCCUGGGGAGUACGGCCGCAAGGCUUAAACUCAAAGGAAUUGACGGGG